CUCUUCUUCAAGUACAGAAACAUAUCAUUUUCCGCAGUUAACAAGUUUUACUUGCUUUUCAAAAAUUUUUAUGGUAUCAUUCUAUAUAGUGUUGAAAAGAAGAGUACGAUCGAACGCUAGGCCUCAAGUUUGGGCAACAAUGGUUUUGACGUUAUUUUUCUUUUUGAUUCAAAUUCUUUAUUUUUAGGAGGCCUGCAAUAUAUGCAAGGUAAAGUAAAAUGGUUUAACGCAGAAAAAGGUUUUGGUUUUAUCGAAAGACCCGACGGUGAAGAUGUAUUCGUACAUUUCUCCGCCAUCCAGGCAGAAGGUUUCAAAACACUGGAAGAAGGACAGGAUGUUGAGUUUGAUGUUGUAGAAGGCAACCGUGGCCCGCAAGCGGCUAACGUUGUGCGUAUAUAAAUUAAACAAAAUGUCAGCAAAAAGCAUUUCCGCUAAGCGGAAAUGCUUUU
This 449-nucleotide small RNA is filed under the name Dethiobacter alkaliphilus AHT 1. RNAcentral describes it as "cspA thermoregulator". It matches the Rfam family "cspA thermoregulator". Lineage: Bacteria; Bacillati; Bacillota; Dethiobacteria; Dethiobacterales; Dethiobacteraceae. The record is from Rfam by way of RNAcentral.